RNAcentral lists this ribosomal RNA (253 nucleotides) under uncultured bacterium. RNAcentral's name for it is "partial 16S ribosomal RNA". It matches the Rfam family "Bacterial small subunit ribosomal RNA", at positions 524 to 776 of the family's 1533-position model. The record is from RNAcentral.
UACGGAGGAUCCAAGCGUUAUCCGGAAUCAUUGGGUUUAAAGGGUCCGUAGGCGGGCUAAUAAGUCAGAGGUGAAAGUUUGCGGCUCAACCGUAAAAUUGCCUUUGAUACUGUUAGUCUUGAAUUACUAUGAAGUGGUUAGAAUGUGUAGUGUAGCGGUGAAAUGCAUAGAUAUUACACAGAAUACCGAUUGCGAAGGCAGAUCACUAAUAGUAUAUUGACGCUGAUGGACGAAAGCGUGGGGAGCGAACAGG